Molecule: ribosomal RNA, 253 nt
Filed under: uncultured bacterium
Lineage: Bacteria
Description: partial 16S ribosomal RNA
Rfam family: Bacterial small subunit ribosomal RNA
Source: RNAcentral
UACGUAGGGGGCGAGCGUUGUCCGGAGUUACUGGGCGUAAAGGGCAUGCAGGCGGUCCGACACGUUUUGUGUGACAGCGGGUGGCUUAACUACCCGAGGAUGCGAAAGACGGUUGGACUUGAGGACUCGAGAGGGACACGGAAUUCCGGGUGGAGUGGUGAAAUGCGUAGAGAUCCGGAGGAACACCGAAGGCGAAGGCAGUGUCCUGGCGAGUGACUGACGCUGAGGUGCGAAAGCCAGGGGAGCAAACGGG